UCUACGGGAGGCAGCAGUGGGGAAUAUUGCACAAUGGGGGAAACCCUGAUGCAGCGACGCCGCGUGAGUGAAGAAGUAUUUCGGUAUGUAACGCUCUAUCAGCAGGGAAGAAAUAGCGACCUUUGGGUUGCCAGACGGUACCUGACUAAGAAGCCCCGGCUAACUACGUGCCAGCAGCCGCGGUAAUACGUAGGAUGCGAGCGUUAUCCGGAAUUAUUGGGUUUAAAGGGUGCGUCGGCGGAUCGUAAAGUCAGUGGUCAAAUUGAGGGACUCAACCCCUACCCGCCAUUGAAACUGGCGCUCUUGAGUGGAAGAGAAGUAUGCGGAAUGCGUGGUGUAGCGGUGAAAUGCAUAGAUAUCACGCAGAACCCCGAUUGCGAAGGCAGCAUGCCGGCUUCCGACUGACGCUGAAGCACGAAAGCGUGGGGAUCGAACAGGAUUAGAUACCCGAGUAGUC
Molecule: ribosomal RNA, 457 nt
Filed under: uncultured bacterium
Lineage: Bacteria
Description: partial 16S ribosomal RNA
Rfam family: Bacterial small subunit ribosomal RNA
Source: RNAcentral